This 1550-nucleotide ribosomal RNA is filed under the name Megasphaera cerevisiae DSM 20462. RNAcentral's name for it is "bacterial LSU rRNA". It matches the Rfam family "Bacterial large subunit ribosomal RNA", at positions 698 to 2230 of the family's 2925-position model. The record is from RNAcentral. Lineage: Bacteria; Bacillati; Bacillota; Negativicutes; Veillonellales; Veillonellaceae.
AGUUGGAUGGAAUAGACCCGAAACCACAGUGAUCUAUCCAUGCCCAGGUUGAAGCACAGGUAAAAAUGUGUGGAGGACCGAACCAGUGAGCGUUGAAAAGCUUUUGGAUGAGGUGUGGAUAGGGGUGAAAUGCCAAUCGAACGUGGAGAUAGCUGGUUCUCCCCGAAAUAGCUUUAGGGCUAGCCUCAUGGAGAGAGUACAGGCGGUAGAGCACUGAACGGGGUAGGGGCCUAUCCGGCUACUGAACCUAAUCAAACUACGAAUGGCUGUACUUAUACAUGGGAGUCAGACUGUGAGUAAUAAGGCCCAUAGUCAAGAGGGAAACAGCCCAGACCAACAGCUAAGGUCCCCAAUGCCGUACUAAGUGGCGAAGGAUGUGGAAUUUCGAAAACAACCAGGAUGUUGGCUCAGAAGCAGCCACCAUUAAAAGAGUGCGUAAUAGCUCACUGGUCGAGAGACUCUGCGCCGAAGAUGACCGGGGCUAAAGUACGGAACCGAAGCUUUGGCAUGUAGGAAACUACAUGGGUAGGGGAGCGUUCCUGCAUGGAAGAAGCCUGACCGGAAGGACAGGUGGACAGGCAGGAAGAGAGAAUGCCGGUAUGAGUAGCGAAAAGGAAGGUGCGAAUCCUUCCCACCGAAAGCCUAAGGGUUCCUGGGCAACGAUCGUCGACCCAGGGUAAGUCGGGACCUAAUCCGAGGCGGAGACGCGUAGGAGAUGGACAACAGGUUGAAAUUCCUGUACCGCAAAAGUCUGAUUGAGCGAUGGAGUGACACAAGAAGGAAUGCGCGCAUGCGAUUGGAAGAGCAUGUCCAAGCAGGUAGGUAGUAUGAUAGGGAAAGCCGUCAUACUGAAAGCCGAGAUGCGAUGGGGAGCCUUUGGAGACAAAGGUGAAGGGGCAGGGACUCAAUUGUCGAGAAAAGCUUCUAGUAAGGACUUAGGCGCCCGUACCAAAACCGACACAGGUAGGCAAGAAGAGAAUUCUAAGGUGCGCGGGAAAACCCUCGUUAAGGAACUCGGCAAAAUGUAUCCGUAACUUCGGGAAAAGGAUAACCCAGAGUAGGUAAAGUCCAGAAACGGACGGAGCCGGAAUGGGAGGCAGAAGAGAGGCCCAAGCGACUGUUUACCACAAACACAGGCGUCUGCUAAAGCGAAAGCUGAUGUAUAGAUGCUGACACCUGCCCGGUGCUGGAAGGUUAAGAGGACGUGUUAGCCGCAAGGCGAAGCAGAGAAUUGAAGCCCCAGUAAACGGCGGCCGUAACUAUAACGGUCCUAAGGUAGCGAAAUUCCUUGUCGGGUAAGUUCCGACCCGCACGAAAGGUGUAACGAUUUGGGCACUGUCUCAACGAGGGACCCGGUGAAAUUGAAGUACCUGUGAAGAUGCAGGUUACCCGCGACUGGACAGAAAGACCCCAUGGAGCUUUACUGUAACCUGAGAUUGGAUUCCGGUAGAAGAUGUACAGGAUAGUUGGGAGGCUGGGAAGUGAGUACGCAAGUAUUGACAGAGCCGAUGGUGGGAUACCAACCUUGUUUUAUUGGAAUUCUAACGAGA